This 246-nucleotide long non-coding RNA is filed under the name Vigna radiata. RNAcentral's name for it is "long non-coding RNA (VRAD_LNC008319)". The record is from RNAcentral. Lineage: Eukaryota; Viridiplantae; Streptophyta; Magnoliopsida; Fabales; Fabaceae.
CGGGGGGUAGACCAUACUAUGAUUGCUUUAGGGUGAAAUAGGGUUGAGUGACAAAACAGAAGCAGGGAAGGGAAGGGCACGAGAGAAAAAAUAAACUGAGUGACAAAACAUAGGGAAAGGCAAAAAUCUUAAACCUUAUUUUUUGAUUGUUCUGCAACAGUGUUUUUAAUAAUUGCUAUUGAUAUAAACUUAAAUUUGUCACUUAUAUCUUAGCAAGCAUCACUAAAGAUUAUUCUUUCUUAAAUG